AGUGAACGCUGGCGGUAGGCCUAACACAUGCAAGUCGACCGGCAGCACAGUAAGAGCUUGCUCUUACGGGUGGCGAGUGGCGGACGGGUGAGGAAUACAUCGGAAUCUACUUUUUCGUGGGGGAUAACGUAGGGAAACUUACGCUAAUACCGCAUACGACCUACGGGUGAAAGCAGGGGAUCUUCGGACCUUGCGCGAUUGAAUGAGCCGAUGUCGGAUUAGCUCGUUGGCGGGGUAAAGGCCCACCAAGGCGACGAUCCGUAGCUGGUCGGAGAGGAUGAGCAGCCACACUGGAACUGAGACACGGUCCAGACUCCUACGGGAGGCAGCAGUGGGGAAUAUUGGACAAUGGGCGCAAGCCUGAUCCAGCCAUACCGCGUGGGUGAAGAAGGCCUUCGGGUUGUAAAGCCCUUUUGUUGGGAAAGAAAAGCAGCAGGUUAAUACCCCGCUGUUCUGACGGUACCCAAAGAAUAAGCACCGGCUAACUUCGUG
This 492-nucleotide ribosomal RNA is filed under the name uncultured bacterium. Its description in RNAcentral is "partial 16S ribosomal RNA". It matches the Rfam family "Bacterial small subunit ribosomal RNA", at positions 29 to 507 of the family's 1533-position model. The record is from RNAcentral.